This 418-nucleotide ribosomal RNA is filed under the name uncultured bacterium. RNAcentral's name for it is "bacterial SSU rRNA". It matches the Rfam family "Bacterial small subunit ribosomal RNA", at positions 16 to 435 of the family's 1533-position model. The record is from RNAcentral.
AUCCUGGCUCAGAUUGAACGCUGGCGGCAUGCUUUACACAUGCAAGUCGAACGGCAGCGGGGGCUUCGGCCUGCCGGCGAGUGGCGAACGGGUGAGUAAUGCAUCGGAACGUGCCCAUGUCGUGGGGGAUAACGUAGCGAAAGCUACGCUAAUACCGCAUACGCCCUGAGGGGGAAAGCGGGGGGAUUCUUCGGAACCUCGCGCGAUUGGAGCGGCCGAUGUCGGAUUAGCUAGUAGGUGAGGUAAAAGGCUCACCUAGGCGACGAUCCGUAGCGGGUCUGAGAGGAUGAUCCGCCACACUGGGACUGAGACACGGCCCAGACUCCUACGGGAGGCAGCAGUGGGGAAUUUUGGACAAUGGGCGCAAGCCUGAUCCAGCCAUGCCGCGUGAGUGAAGAAGGCCUCGGUGUAAGUACGU